CAGCUGGACCGGACGGUCGCUUUCGACGUCUUCGGACGGCGGGAGAGGAAAGUCCGAACUCCGCAGAGCAGUGUGCCGGAUAACGUCCGGGAGGCCGGGUUUAAGCCCGGUCGACGGAAAGUACCACAGAAAACAUACCGCCUCGGCUGCAAGGCUGGGUAAGGGUGAAAAGGUGCGGUAAGAGCGCACCGCCGCCGCAGUAAUGCGACGGGCAGGGCAAACCCCACACGGAGCAAGACCAAAUAGGGAGGGAGCCUCGGCUUCGGCCGGGGC
RNAcentral lists this RNase P RNA (273 nucleotides) under Acidobacteriota bacterium. RNAcentral's name for it is "Acidobacteria bacterium partial RNase P RNA component class A". It matches the Rfam family "Bacterial RNase P class A", at positions 1 to 263 of the family's 367-position model. From Rfam's summary of the family: Ribonuclease P (RNase P) is a ubiquitous endoribonuclease, found in archaea, bacteria and eukarya as well as chloroplasts and mitochondria. Its best characterised activity is the generation of mature 5'-ends of tRNAs by cleaving the 5'-leader elements of precursor-tRNAs. Lineage: Bacteria; Pseudomonadati; Acidobacteriota. The record is from RNAcentral.